AAUCGAUAAUCCUCGAUAUACCUCACCAUUUUUUGCUUUUUCAGCCUGUAUACCUCCGUCGCAAACCUACCAUUUGAGUGCUCUAAAGUAAGUUCAACUGGGCCCCAACACGCCAAUACGUCAGGUCAAGGUGCAGCCCAUAAAAUGGAAAGCAAUGGGCUACAAUUUCUAAAAUAGAACAAACAAAAAACUACAUGAAACAUAGUACAUGAAGGCGGAUUUAGUAGUAAAAGAAGAACAGUAAGCUUCUUUUAACAAGGCCCUGGGACGUGUACAAACCGCCCGUCACCCUCUUCAAUAAUACCCAUUCAGCUAUAUAACACCCCCUAACAUCUAAUAAGAGGCAAGUCGUAACAUGGUAAGUGUACUGGAAAGUGCACUUGGAAAACAGAGUAUAGCUUAACCAAAGCAUUUCGCUUACACCGAAAAAACAUCCGUUUGACCAAGAUUACUUUGAGCCCUACGUCUAGCC
RNAcentral lists this ribosomal RNA (472 nucleotides) under Mantidactylus sp. 1 MM-2016. RNAcentral describes it as "partial 12S ribosomal RNA". The stretch from base 1 to 396 matches the Rfam family "Bacterial small subunit ribosomal RNA", at positions 949 to 1533 of the family's 1533-position model. The record is from RNAcentral. Lineage: Eukaryota; Metazoa; Chordata; Amphibia; Anura; Mantellidae.